AUGAACGCUGCCAGAAUGCUUAACACAUGCAAGUCGAUGGGGAAGUGGUGCUUGCACCCUGGCAACCAUGGCGGACGGGUGAGUAACGCGUAAGGGACUUACCUGCAGGACUGGGAUAACAGGGGGAAACUCCUGACAAGACCGGAUAAUGUCAUGGAGCUGCAUGGCUUUAUGAUGAAAGGAGACGCCUGCGGAGAGCCUUGCGUCCUAUUAGCUAGUUGGUGAGGUAAUGGCUCACCAAGGCGAAGAUAGGUAGCCGGCCUGAGAGGGUGGACGGCCACAAGGGGACUGAGAUACGGCCCUUACUCCUACGGGAGGCAGCAGUGGGGAAUAUUGGACAAUGGGGGCAACCCUGAUCCAGCAAUUCUGUGUGCACGAAGAAGGUUUUCGGAUUGUAAAGUGCUUUCAGCAGGGAAGAAGUAAGUGACGGUACCUGCAGAAGAAGCGACGGCUAAAUACGUG
RNAcentral lists this ribosomal RNA (462 nucleotides) under uncultured bacterium. RNAcentral describes it as "partial 16S ribosomal RNA". It matches the Rfam family "Bacterial small subunit ribosomal RNA", at positions 29 to 507 of the family's 1533-position model. The record is from RNAcentral.